GUCUGAUGAUUUUAUUUUCUGAAAUUUUCUCUCUCUGUGUUUUCGUCUUUUGUAUCUGUUAAUUGAUUGGAGCAGGGAUUGUGUGUAUCGGCGUUGUGCUCCAAAAAUGCACUCUGAAUCCGAAAGAGUUCCCUGCAAUAUAACAUCUGGGGAAGAUGGGCAGUUGUGUUUCAUUCUUCAUCAUUGAAAAUAUUCAACAAUCAUCUUCCCCACAUUUUCCUCUUUGAUAUUCAUCAAUUUUCUUAAUUAUUAUUUUGUCAUACUAUCAUCUGCAAGAAGAUGAUAUUGUCAAUAGUAAUACCAUUUUA
RNAcentral lists this unclassified non-coding RNA (308 nucleotides) under Hevea brasiliensis (rubber tree). The stretch from base 69 to 217 matches the Rfam family "small nucleolar RNA snoR135". Lineage: Eukaryota; Viridiplantae; Streptophyta; Magnoliopsida; Malpighiales; Euphorbiaceae. The record is from RNAcentral.